AGCAUCCUACGGGGGGCAGCAGUGAGGAAUAUUGGUCAAUGGCCGGAAGGCUGAACCAGCCAAGCCGCGUGAAGGACGAAGGUGCCAAGCAUUGUAAACUUCUUUUGUCAAGGGACAAAAUCAGGCUCGAGAGCCUGACCGAGGGUACUUGAAGAAAAAGCAUCGGCUAGCUCCGUGCCAGCAGCCGCGGUAAUACGUAGGGGGCGAGCGUUAUCCGGAUUUACUGGGUGUAAAGGGAGCGUAGACGGUUCUGCAAGUCUGAAGUGAAAGCCCGUGGCUUAACCGCGGAACGGCUUUGGAAACUG
Molecule: ribosomal RNA, 305 nt
Filed under: uncultured bacterium
Lineage: Bacteria
Description: bacterial SSU rRNA
Rfam family: Bacterial small subunit ribosomal RNA
Source: RNAcentral